Molecule: ribosomal RNA, 649 nt
Filed under: uncultured bacterium
Lineage: Bacteria
Description: partial 16S ribosomal RNA
Rfam family: Bacterial small subunit ribosomal RNA
Source: RNAcentral
AACUGCGACUUGAGCGCGCGCGCGCGGUACUGCGUACUGCAGCUCGUAGAUGCUGUCAGUACGCAGCAUGUGCGUCAUGCUGCAUGGUACGUCAUGGCUAAUGACGGUACCUGAAGAAUAAGCACCGGCUAACUACGUGCCAGCAGCCGCGGUAAUACGUAGGGUGCAAGCGUUAAUCGGAAUUACUGGGCGUAAACACGAAAGCGUGGGGAGCAAACAGGAUUAGAUACCCUGGUAGUCCACGCCCUAAACGAUGUCAACUGGUUGUUGGUCCUUCGCUGGAUCAGUAACGAAGCUAACGCGUGAAGUACAUGGCGUGCGCAGGCGGUUCAUGCACGAAUUUCGGCUGCGCUAAUGCUACGUGCUCGAUGACAAAGCGUGGGGAGCAAACAGGAUUAGAUACCCUGGUAGUCCACGCCCUAAACGAUGUCUACUAGUUGUCGGGUUUUAAUUAACUUGGUAACGCAGCUAACGCGUGAUGACCGCCUGGGGGAGUACGGCCGCAAGGUUGAAACUCAAGAAUUGAGGGGACCCGCACAAGCGGUGGAUGAUGUGGUUUAAUUCGAUGCACGCGAAAACUUACCACCUUUGAGUAGACCGCCUGGGGAGUACGGUCGCAAGAUUAAAACUCAAAGGAAUUGACGGGGAC